Molecule: long non-coding RNA, 1159 nt
Organism: Hydractinia symbiolongicarpus
Lineage: Eukaryota; Metazoa; Cnidaria; Hydrozoa; Anthoathecata; Hydractiniidae
Exons: 2
Source: RefSeq, a predicted model, not a curated record
AUUACUUUUGCAAUAGGGGAAAUCAAUUAAAAGUUAAAAAUACGAAGUUUCUAAAAAGUAUUUUUUAUUUUUAUUUUAGAAGAACAACAAACAAGCAAAAACGGUUUUAGUUUUAAAGCACGUUUUUAUAUUGUUCCUCCAAUUUGGUACUUGCCGUAAUAUGAUCCGUGAAAAUGGUAACCAAGGAUUAGUGGAAAAACAUUAAGAAAUUAAGUUAAUGUCACUGUACGAUUCAAGACAAAUACCCGAUUGAAUCCAGAUUGAAAAGUUCCAGUCUUAUCAUAUAUACUUUGCAGGUAAAAAAAAUGAAGUUGUUAAAAAGGUUGUUUAAAAUCUUAGCAAUCUAAUGAGUUACAAGACUGCGCAAAGAACCUGAUGAUUGCACGAUUUCGUGUGAAUGAGUAGAACGACUCAAAUACUUUAAGUAAGUAAUAAUUUAUGAUAUAAUAUGUGAUAAUUAUCAAUUCGACAACCAUCAAUAGUUUAUUAUUGUCACGCUAAUUACACUAUUCUUGAUGAAAAUAGAAUCAACUCUUUAUAUAUUGCCUCGGUUUCCAACAGAGAUCAAAUGUGAUGUAAUUCAUUAAAUUGUUGUGGCUGGUCGUUUUUGCUGAAACUUUCAAACUGUUUAUUUUUGUAAAGAUCUUAAAAAGAAAAAAAAGCUGCUAAGCUUCAAAGAAAAUAAAUGGAAUUGGGAAUGGAGUAUGCACUGGAAUUGGUACUGUGUACACACUUUCGAAGUUUUUGGCAUGAUUCAGUCUCCGGCACUGGAAAUAAACGCUUUGCCACAAGUUUGUUGGAAAUUUGGUUUCAUGUUAUGCUCAAUCUUUAAUAUUAAAGGUGUUUACAGCCUAAGAAAUCGAUAAUACUAAUGUUGUUUUUACAAGAAAACUCCUUAUUGUUAAAUCUCUAUAAUAAUAGCCGUCGAGUGUUUGCCACACAAGCUGAUUUCGCGCUAAAGAUUCACGAAAUAACGAUGCACAGAUGAUGCACGUUUGCUACUGUUUCUAACACAUCAUACUACAACAUAAAUUAACGUUAUUUGCAGAAAGUAAAUAGAUAAAUCAAAAAUUAUAUAUAAAUAAACUUAGAACUUGUAUUUUUUUAGUUUUGUCAAAUUAUUAGUUCAAUGGUUUUAAUAAAGUAAAUUGUUGACAAA